UACACAAUGCAGUCGAGGGAGAAAGAGGCUUCGGCCUUGAGUACACCGGCGAACGGGUGCGUAACACGUGGGCAACCUACCCUUCAGCGGGGGACAACAGUUCGAAAGGACUGCUAAUACCGCAUACGUCGGCGGGGACUUCGGUUCCUGUCGGGAAAGACGGCUCUCCAUGGAAGCUGUCACUGAAGAUGGGCUCGCGUCCCAUCAGCUAUUGGUGAGGUAACGGCUCACCAAGGCAUAGACGGGUAGCUGGUCUGAGAGGAUGAUCAGCCACACUGGGACUGAGACACGACCCAGACUCCUACGGGAGGCAGCCAGUGGGGAAUAUUGGGCAAUGGGCGCAAGCCUGACCAGCACGCCGGUGAGUGAUGAAGGCCUUCGGGUCGUAAAGCUCUGUGGGGAGAGAAGAAUAAGCCGGGGGAACAAUACCCCCUGGUCUUGACGGUAUCUCCUUAGCAAGCACCGGUAACUCCGUGCCAGCAGCCGCGGUAAUACGGAGGGUGCAAACGUUGCUCGGAAUUAUUGGGCGUAAAGCGAACGCCAGGCGGUCCGAUAAGUCGGAUGUGAAAGCCCUCGGUUUACCGAGGAAGGUGCAUUCGAACUGCCGGACUUGAGUUACCAGUAGAGCGGUCGCGGGAAAUUCCCGGUGUCCGAAGGGUGGAAACUUCCGAAGAAUUAUCCGGGAGGGACCACCAGGUGGCGAACGGCGGGCGAACCUGGGGUUGGACACUUGGACGCU
RNAcentral lists this ribosomal RNA (739 nucleotides) under uncultured bacterium. RNAcentral describes it as "bacterial SSU rRNA". It matches the Rfam family "Bacterial small subunit ribosomal RNA", at positions 50 to 753 of the family's 1533-position model. The record is from RNAcentral.